This 639-nucleotide ribosomal RNA is filed under the name bacterium TN119A. RNAcentral describes it as "bacterial SSU rRNA". It matches the Rfam family "Bacterial small subunit ribosomal RNA", at positions 20 to 705 of the family's 1533-position model. The record is from RNAcentral.
UGGCUCAGAACGAACGCUGGCGGCAUGCCUAAUACAUGCAAGUCGAACGAGAUCUUCGGAUCUAGUGGCGCACGGGUGCGUAACGCGUGGGAAUCUGCCCUUGGGUUCGGAAUAACUUCUGGAAACGGAAGCUAAUACCGGAUGAUGACGUAAGUCCAAAGAUUUAUCGCCCAAGGAUGAGCCCGCGUAGGAUUAGCUAGUUGGUGAGGUAAAGGCUCACCAAGGCGACGAUCCUUAGCUGGUCUGAGAGGAUGAUCAGCCACACUGGGACUGAGACACGGCCCAGACUCCUACGGGAGGCAGCAGUAGGGAAUAUUGGACAAUGGGCGAAAGCCUGAUCCAGCAAUGCCGCGUGAGUGAUGAAGGCCUUAGGGUUGUAAAGCUCUUUUACCCGGGAUGAUAAUGACAGUACCGGGAGAAUAAGCUCCGGCUAACUCCGUGCCAGCAGCCGCGGUAAUACGGAGGGAGCUAGCGUUGUUCGGAAUUACUGGGCGUAAAGCGCACGUAGGCGGCUAUUCAAGUCAGAGGUGAAAGCCCGGGGCUCAACCCCGGAACUGCCUUUGAAACUAGAUAGCUUGAAUCCAGGAGAGGUGAGUGGAAUUCCGAGUGUAGAGGUGAAAUUCGUAGAUAUUCGGAAGA